RNAcentral lists this long non-coding RNA (918 nucleotides) under Homo sapiens (human). Its description in RNAcentral is "long non-coding RNA NONHSAT192951.1". The record is from RNAcentral. Lineage: Eukaryota; Metazoa; Chordata; Mammalia; Primates; Hominidae.
GGCCAGCUGCGCCGCGGCUCACAGCUGACGAUGGGGGACCCCAGCAAGCAGGACAUCUUGACCAUCUUCAAGCGCCUCCGCUCGGUGCCCACUAACAAGGUGUGUUUUGAUUGUGGUGCCAAAAAUCCCAGCUGGGCAAGCAUAACCUAUGGAGUGUUCCUUUGCAUUGAUUGCUCAGGGUCCCACCGGUCACUUGGUGUUCACUUGAGUUUUAUUCGAUCUACAGAGUUGGAUUCCAACUGGUCAUGGUUUCAGUUGCGAUGCAUGCAAGUCGGAGGAAACGCUAGUGCAUCUUCCUUUUUUCAUCAACAUGGGUGUUCCACCAAUGACACCAAUGCCAAGUACAACAGUCGUGCUGCUCAGCUCUAUAGGGAGAAAAUCAAAUCGCUCGCCUCUCAAGCAACACGGAAGCAUGGCACUGAUGUAACUGUGGCUUGAUAGUUGUGUGGUUCCACCUUUGUCCCCUCCACCAAAGGAGGAAGAUUUUUUUGCCUCUCACGUUUCUCCUGAGGUGAGUGACACAGCGUGGGCAUCAGCAAUAGCAGAACCAUCUUCUUUAACAUCAAGGCCUGUGGAAACCACUUUGGAAAAUAAUGAAGGUGGACAAGAGCAAGGACCAAGUGUGGAAGGUCUUAAUGUACCAACAAAGGCUACUUUAGGUAUCCUCUAUCAUAAAAAAGAAACCAAAUCAAGCUAAAAAAGCUUGGGGCCAAAAAAGGAAGUUUGGGAGCUCAGAAACUGGCAAACACAUGCUUUAAUGAAAUUGAAAAACAAGCUCAAGCUGCGGAUAAAAUGAAGGAGCAGGAAGACCUGGCCAAGGUGGUAUCUAAAGAAGAAUCAAUUGUUUCAUCAUUACGAUUAGCCUAUAAGGAUCUUGAAAUUCAAAUGAAGAAAGACGAAAAGAUGAACAUUAGUGGC